AUCAACUUUCGAUGGUAGGAUAGAGGCCUACCAUGGUGGUAACGGGUAACGGGGUGUUAGGGCACGACACCGGAGAGGGAGCCUGAGAAACGGCUACCACAUCCAAGGAUGGCAGCAGGCGCGCAAAUUACCCAAUCCCGACACGGGGAGGUAGUGACAAUAAAUAACAAUACGGGGUUCUUUCGGAUCUCGUAAUUGGAAUGAGUACAAUUUAAAUCUCUUAACGAGGAACAAUUGGAGGGCAAGUCUGGUGCCAGCAGCCGCGGUAAUUCCAGCUCCAAUAGCGUAUAUUAAAGUUGUUGCAGUUAAAAAGCUCGUAGUUGAAUUUCGGGGUUAGUAGGUUGGUCAUGCCUCUGGUAUGUACUGGUCUCACUGAUUCCUCCUUCCUUAUGAACCGUAAUGCCAUUAAUUUGGUGUUGCGGGGAAUUUGGACUGUUACUUUGAAAAAAUUAGAGUGUUUAAAGCAGGCUAACGCUUGAAUACAUUAGCAUGGAAUAAUGAAAUAGGACGUUCGAUCUUAUUUUGUUGGUUUCUAGGAUUGACGUAAUGAUUAAUAGGGAUAGUUGGGGGCAUUAGUAUUCAAUUGUCAGAGGUGAAAUUCUUGGAUUUAUUGAAGACUAACUACUGCGAAAGCAUUUGCCAAGGAUGUUUUCAUUAAUCAAGAACGAAAGUUAGGGGAUCGAAGACGAUCAGAUACCGUCGUAGUCUUAACCAUAAACUAUGCCGACUAGGGAUCGGAUGAUGUUAAUUUUUUAAUGACUCAUUCGCCGCCUUACGGGAAACCAAAGUGUUUGGGUUC
This 799-nucleotide ribosomal RNA is filed under the name uncultured Glomus. RNAcentral describes it as "SSU rRNA". It matches the Rfam family "Eukaryotic small subunit ribosomal RNA", at positions 314 to 1114 of the family's 1831-position model. Lineage: Eukaryota; Fungi; Glomeromycota; Glomeromycetes; Glomerales; Glomeraceae. The record is from RNAcentral.